This 258-nucleotide long non-coding RNA is filed under the name Pongo abelii (Sumatran orangutan). RNAcentral's name for it is "lincRNA". The record is from RNAcentral. Lineage: Eukaryota; Metazoa; Chordata; Mammalia; Primates; Hominidae.
GGGUGCGGGGUGGCGACUCCCAUGGCGAAUGGCUGGGUCAAUAGCACAUCUUUAUUUUCUCUCUAGAUCAUUCUUCUUCCUAUUUUGAUUUGAGAAAGGGAACGUGAGAAUUAGGGCAACCAGAGUGUUUUCUCAGGUGCUGAAAGGCUCAGGGUGCUCGCCCACAUCAGUGAGGGAGGUGCAGCCGACGAAGGAAGUGCUGGGUGCAGAAGGGGAUGCUCUGAAAAGGUGGCUUCUGUUUGCAGUUUCAAAGCUCAG